RNAcentral lists this ribosomal RNA (305 nucleotides) under uncultured bacterium. Its description in RNAcentral is "bacterial SSU rRNA". It matches the Rfam family "Bacterial small subunit ribosomal RNA", at positions 337 to 657 of the family's 1533-position model. The record is from RNAcentral.
UCCUACGGGGCGCAGCAGUGGGGAAUAUUGCACAAUGGGCGAAAGCCUGAUGCAGCAACGCCGCGUGAAGGAAGAAGGCUUUCGGGUUGUAAACUUCUUUUCUCAGGGACGAAGCAAGUGACGGUACCUGAGGAAUAAGCAUCGGCUAACUCCGUGCCAGCAGCCGCGGUAAUACGGAGGAUGCGAGCGUUAUCCGGAUUUAUUGGGUUUAAAGGGUGCGAAGGCGGAUUUUUAAGUCAGCGGGAAAAUGUCCGGGCUCAACCCGGGCCGGCCGUUGAAACUGGGGGUCUUGCGGGGGCGAGAGG